Molecule: non-coding RNA, 28 nt
Filed under: Mus musculus (house mouse)
Lineage: Eukaryota; Metazoa; Chordata; Mammalia; Rodentia; Muridae
Source: RNAcentral
UACUAGUUAAGGGCCUGUCUGAAUGUCA